GGAGUUUGGAGGUGACUCCCCUGAAGGUCCUCUGCUUUCUCCAGCCUGAUUUGGCUCCACUGCUCACCAGGGAACUCUCACCUCUCCCUCCUUCCAGACAUCCCCUCGCUGAGGCUCCCAGCCCAGCCAUGCUCUGCUCCGCUCCUGACCUCUGCAUUCAUGACUCUACCUUCCUCUCUGGAUUGUCGCUUGCUUUUGGGCUCUCAGUUAUAGCUCCCAGGCCAGCCCCACGCUUCUCAUUACACCAAAGGAGGUGCACCUGGACUGAAACAGGAUUUAAAGGUCCAGCUAUUUUGCUACACAGCCCAUUUAAAAUGGACUAUUGGGGACUGAAGGUUCCAUGGCAAUUGACUGGAAUGUUGGGAUCUGAAGAUUCCAUGUCAGUUGGGAUCUGGAGGUACCAUGACAAUUGGGAAGAAUGUUGGGGUCUGUGGAUUCUGUGUCAGUUGGGUUGAAUGUUGGGGCCUGGAGGUUCUGUGGCAGUCAUGGGAGGGGGGAUAUUGGGAUCUGGAGGUUCUGUGGCAGUUGUGGGAGGGGGAUAUUGGGAUCUGGAGGUUCUGUGGCAGUUGUGGGAGGGGGAUAUUGGGAUCUGGAGGUUCUGUGGCAGUUGUGGGAGGGGGAUAUUGGGAUCUGGAGGUUCUGUGGCAGUCAUGGGAGGGGGAUAUUGGGAUCUGGAGGUUCCAUGGCAGUUGCGCAUGUUGACACAUUUUCAACCUCAUAACUAUAUACAUGAAAUUACAACCUAUAACAUUACUAUAACAACGAUUAUUAUAACAUUACCAUAGCAACAAUGCUCAUUACAUCACGAGCCUUCCGAAGACACCUGACAUGAUAAACUUUGCAUCGGAUACCAGACGGUCAUUUUAUAAAGAUGAACAUGGGGGUGUAGGGUGUUCCCACGAGGUACAGAACGUCACGGACACUACAUCAGAACAAUUCCUCGAAAGGAUGGGGUGGACUCUCCAAUCAAGUUUGGACUGGCUUCUCUCAAAGAUACAGUGGUCAAGAUUUUCAAAAGGGAUUAAUGAUUUGGGAGGGAAAUGAAGGCACUAAUAAAACCUCAUCUGGAAUAUUGUGUCCAAUUCUGGUCACAUGGUCCAGGAAGAUUAAUUCAAACUGGGACAGGUGUAGAGAAGGCAGUUAUGAUUAUCAGAGGUGUAGUAGGAAGAGAGCCUGAGAUAUAAGCCCUUGAAUUAGAGCUGCAUCCAUUGUCAUGGGCAUACAUGUCUUAGUAUCCUCGUAUAGUCUGCCAGGUGCUAUUACCAUGCUUUGUCAACAAUAAACCUGGUCUUUAUACCUUAACGGAUCUUGUGGUCAUUGUGCGGUUCACUCAAGGCCUGAUGUGUUGGCUGUCUGCACAGAGCUGGGGCAGCACACAGGGAGAACACAUACACACAGCUAACAACAAGAGGAAUGGAGAACCUAGUUUAUGAAAGGA
Long non-coding RNA from Gopherus flavomarginatus (Mexican gopher tortoise), 1438 nucleotides. RefSeq lists it as uncharacterized. NCBI's taxonomy places the organism in Eukaryota, Metazoa, Chordata, Testudines, Testudinidae. The record is from RefSeq and is a predicted model, not a curated record. The transcript has 4 exons.